Molecule: small nuclear RNA, 108 nt
Organism: Loxodonta africana (African savanna elephant)
Lineage: Eukaryota; Metazoa; Chordata; Mammalia; Proboscidea; Elephantidae
Source: Ensembl
AUGCUUGUUUUGGCAGCACAAACACUGAAAUUGAGAACGAUACAGAGAAGAUGAGCAUGGCCCCUGCGCAAGGGUGACAGGCAAAUUCACGAAGCCUUCCAUAUUUAC